CAGAAUAAGCACCGGCUAACUUCGUGCCAGCAGCCGCGGUAAUACGAAGGGUGCAAGCGUUAAUCGGAAUUACUGGGCGUAAAGCGCGCGUAGGUGGUUCGUUAAGUUGGAUGUGAGAGCCCCGGGCUCAACCUGGGAACUGCAUCCAAAACUGGCGAG
RNAcentral lists this ribosomal RNA (159 nucleotides) under uncultured bacterium. Its description in RNAcentral is "partial 16S ribosomal RNA". It matches the Rfam family "Bacterial small subunit ribosomal RNA", at positions 482 to 640 of the family's 1533-position model. The record is from RNAcentral.